AGUUUGAUCAUGGCUCAGGACGAACGCUGGCGGCGUGCCUAAUACAUGCAAGUCGAGCGAGCUUGCCUAGACGAUUUUAGUGCUUGCACUAAAUGAAACUAGAUACAAGCGAGCGGCGGACGGGUGAGUAACACGUGGGUAACCUGCCCAAGAGACUGGGAUAACACCUGGAAACAGAUGCUAAUACCGGAUAACAACACUAGACGCAUGUCUAGAGUUUGAAAGAUGGUUCUGCUAUCACUCUUGGAUGGACCUGCGGUGCAUUAGCUAGUUGGUAAGGUAACGGCUUACCAAGGCAAUGAUGCAUAGCCGAGUUGAGAGACUGAUCGGCCACAUUGGGACUGAGACACGGCCCAAACUCCUACGGGAGGCAGCAGUAGGGAAUCUUCCACAAUGGACGAAAGUCUGAUGGAGCAACGCCGCGUGAGUGAAGAAGGGUUUCGGCUCGUAAAGCUCUGUUGGUAGUGAAGAAAGAUAGAGGUAGUAACUGGCCUUUAUUUGACGGUAAUUACUUAGAAAGUCACGGCUAACUACGUGCCAGCAAGCCGCGGUAAUACGUAGGUGGCAAGCGUUGUCCGGAUUU
This 583-nucleotide ribosomal RNA is filed under the name uncultured bacterium. RNAcentral describes it as "bacterial SSU rRNA". It matches the Rfam family "Bacterial small subunit ribosomal RNA", at positions 10 to 552 of the family's 1533-position model. The record is from RNAcentral.